Molecule: unclassified non-coding RNA, 348 nt
Filed under: soil metagenome
Description: partial contains 5.8S ribosomal RNA, internal transcribed spacer 2, and large subunit ribosomal RNA
Rfam family: 5.8S ribosomal RNA (bases 1-120)
Source: RNAcentral
GAUGAAGAACGUAGCGAAAUGCGAUAAGUAAUGUGAAUUGCAGAAUUCAGUGAAUCAUCGAAUCUUUGAACGCACAUUGCGCCCGCCAGUAUUCUGGCGGGCAUGCCUGUCUGAGCGUCAUUUCAACCCUCAUGCCCCUAGGGCGUGGUGUUGGGGAUCGGCCAAAGCCCGCGAGGGACGGCCGGCCCCUAAAUCUAGUGGCGGACCCGUCGUGGCCUCCUCUGCGAAGUAGUGAUAUUCCGCAUCGGAGAGCGACGAGCCCCUGCCGUUAAACCCCCAACUUUCCAAGGUUGACCUCCGAUCAGGUAGGAAUACCCGCUGAACUUAAGCAUAUCAAUAAGCGGAGGA